UAAGACCUGCAGGACUCUAUCCAACAUCACCUGAAUGCAACUCAAAUACUUUAACUAAGCUAAGGCCUU
This 69-nucleotide transfer RNA is filed under the name Alytes cisternasii (Iberian midwife toad). RNAcentral's name for it is "tRNA-Ala". Lineage: Eukaryota; Metazoa; Chordata; Amphibia; Anura; Alytidae. The record is from RNAcentral.